Molecule: ribosomal RNA, 469 nt
Filed under: uncultured bacterium
Lineage: Bacteria
Description: partial 16S ribosomal RNA
Rfam family: Bacterial small subunit ribosomal RNA
Source: RNAcentral
GACGAACGCUGGCGGCGUGCUUAACACAUGCAAGUCGAACGGAAAGGCCCUGCUUGCAGGGUGCUCGAGUGGCGAACGGGUGAGUAACACGUGGGUGAUCUGCCCCUUACUUUGGGAUAAGCCUGGGAAACUGGGUCUAAUACUGGAUAGGACCAUGCUGUAGGUGGUGUGGUGGAAAGAUUAGUUUCGGUAAGGGAUGAGCUCGCGGCCUAUCAGCUUGUUGGUGGGGUAAUGGCCUACCAAGGCGUCGGCGGGUAGCCGGCCUGAGAGGGUGGACGGCCACAUUGGGACUGAGAUACGGGCCAGACUCCUACGGGAGGGAGCAGUGGGGAAUAUUGCACAAUGGGCGCAAGCCGGAUGCAGCGACGCCGCGUGGGGGAUGACGGCCUUCGGGUUGUAAACUCCUUUCAGCCAUGACGAAGCCCUUGUGGUGACGGUAGUGGUAGAAGAAGCACCGGCUAACUACGUG